GACGAACGCUGGCGGCGUGCUUAACUCAUGCAAGUCGAACGAUGAAGCCGGAGCUUGCUCUGGUGAAUUAGUGGCGAACGGGUGAGUAACACGUGAGUAACCUGCCCUUGACUCUGGGAUAACUGCGGGCAACUGUAGCUAAUACCGGAUACGACCCUCGGAGGCAUCUCCUGGGGGUGGAAAGAAUUUCGGUCAAGGAUGGACUCGCGGCCUAUCAGCUAGUUGGUGAGGUAAAGGCUCACCAAGGCGACGACGGGUAGCCGGCCUGAGAGGGUGACCGGCCACACUGGGACUGAGACACGGCCCAGACUCCUACGGGAGGCAGCAGUGGGGAAUAUUGCACAAUGGGCGCAAGCCUGAUGCAGCAACGCCGCGUGAGGGAUGACGGCCUUCGGGUUGUAAACCUCUUUUAGCAGGGAAGAAGCGAAAGUGACGAUACCUGCAGAAAAAGCACCGGCUAACUACGUGCCAGCCGCCGCCGUAA
Molecule: ribosomal RNA, 484 nt
Filed under: uncultured bacterium
Lineage: Bacteria
Description: partial 16S ribosomal RNA
Rfam family: Bacterial small subunit ribosomal RNA
Source: RNAcentral